Molecule: long non-coding RNA, 1683 nt
Organism: Equus asinus (donkey)
Lineage: Eukaryota; Metazoa; Chordata; Mammalia; Perissodactyla; Equidae
Source: Ensembl
CCAGAGGCCAAAGGGGACCCAGCCCCCUCUCCAUCCCCAUCUGGAGCUUACAAACUCUGGGAGAGCUGGACAAGAAGGGGAAGCCCCAACCCUAGCAGAAGGCCGUGGAAUCCGAGGACAGAACUGAGUGGGCAAUGUCUACAGUGGCAGAAAAAUACAGCAAAGAAAGAUAACAAGUGACCUAUACUAUAUACUUCUGGAGGCCACCAGGGAAAGCUGCUCACAUCAGACCCCCACCUUGGCCCUGGACCUACCAGAAAGCAGCUGGAUGAAACACAGCAAGAUUCUGCUCCUCUGAUCGCCUCCUCACACAUGUGAUGGGCUCUGUCUGAGCUUAUGCUCUGCCUGUUGGGCUGAAUUGAGUUCGUUUGGUAAGUAACGGAGUUAACCUGGUUGUUGACAGCAGGUCCAGUUAUUCCCGGCAGCCGAGGUUCAGGAACGCGUUUUGGGAAUGUCCAGCCAUGUAGUUGGAGUUUGAGAAUAAGGUAAAGGACUGUCUGGCCUCUUCUGCCUAGAGGACACUGUAGUUUCCCUGGGCUGGUCACUGUUUCAUUGGCCUCCAUCACACAGUGAGGAUGACAAUCCUCACGCUGCCUACAUCACAGGGAUUAUUGUGUCAAGGUAACCUCUUCCAGAGAGCCUUCCCUGACUGCCCCUAGGCUGAGGGAGGUCUUUCUUCUCUUCGCUCCAACAGGCCCUAUGAGUUUCUUCCAUCAUAGUACUUUUCACUCUGCAUUGCAAAUGACUCUUUUCCUGUCUCCUUGGGUCUGUGAGCUCCAUGAAGGCAGGAGCUGGGUUGGCCUCAUCUCUGUGGCCCCAGCACCCAGGACUUGGCAUACAAUAGGUGCUCAAGGCCCGUCUUUGUUAGACUGAACUGAACUGAAAGUGCUCUGGACACAUCAGAAGACCCGGCUGCCCCAGCACAGGGUGAUGAUUCCCUUCAAAGUUCAUGAGAGGAAGUUUUCCUAUCUGUGGCAGCCACAUGGCAAGGCCCAAAACAGUCACCAUGGGCUGCCUUCACGUUGCUUGGCUUCCAGAGCAGAAGUGGUGGAAGUUGGUGCUGACGGUGGCCACUACCCCAAAGUUCAGCUCUUGAGAGCUGGUCCUAGAUGCUCUCCUAGCUGGAAGUUUCUCUGACUCAUUGGUUCGAGGUUCUUUACUCCUGGGAGACCCUAUUUUCCCCUGCGUUGUGCAGAAUGUGAAAGAGAAAACAUGGCGGCCUAUCCCCAAAUUGCCACUUGGCUCUGGGAUGGAGCCAACUGAACACACACACACACACCCAUUCACUCACUUAUUCAUUCACCGAGCACUUACUCUGCGCCAGGCCCUGUGCCACUGAAUACAGGGGUCCACAGGCGGCAGGGACAGGGUCCUGUGUUCAGAAAGCUCACAGUCUAGUGGGAGAGCAGAUAAACAGAAUGAUGAGAACGUGAGCGGCUAAGAUUCUCAGUGUGGGAGUGUGCCCUCCCCUCCCCUAGCAACUUCUCUCCCCCUCCAUCUUGUAAGGGGAGUUCUAUCUGCUUCCCCAGGAGUUCAGGAAAAUGAGAGACAGGAUCAAAGAACUUAGAGGAAGAAACCUCAUUUUCUGGAUGAUUUCUCAAUUUCUUCUUUGUUGUGGAGAAUCAGGGUAAUGAGCAAAGUUGAAAUGAGAGGUUAAAUCAAUUCACAUAGACAGAGGUUAAC